This is an RNA transcript of Zingiber officinale, 1854 nucleotides long. It is a transcript of the gene named actin-related protein 8-like, with no coding region annotated. The transcript is spliced from 12 exons. Lineage: Eukaryota; Viridiplantae; Streptophyta; Magnoliopsida; Zingiberales; Zingiberaceae. The record is from RefSeq and is a predicted model, not a curated record.
UCUGCGGCCCAAAUCGUAUCCCCAAUUCCAUCUCGAUGCUGCCGCCUUCGCCUCCUCCUCUUUGAGACGACGGCGAAUUCGAAUUCCCUCCUCCCUCGAUCGGCCUCCUCCCUCUUCGUCCUCCUCAAUCAUUCCUAGAUCGUGGCCUUAAUGGCGGUGGUGCUGCGGAAGGUCUUGGGCUCCGUGCUCCAUCGCUCCGGAUCCAGCUCCAGUCGCCAUAACUCGGAACUCCCGGAAGACCACCCUCCCCUCGGAGAUCUAAACGUCAUCCCCAACGACGUCUUCGUGCAGAUCCUCCUGCUGCUCGGACCCCGGGAUGCCGCGCGGACCAGCUCCGUGUGCAAGUCAUGGAGAGCCCUGGUGUCGGGCAACGCUAUCUGGGUUUACUUUAUCAUGAACGAGAAGGAGCCGUGGGAUGCUUUGGUCUUCGCCGAAACCCACUUGCAGUUAUGCUUUGUUCCUCCAUCACAGUUGUCAUUUAUGAACAUUUAUUCAAAGCGUGCAAUGGUUCCAGGUUCUAUUAUUAUUGAUGGUGGCUCUGGCUAUUGCAAGUAUGGUUGGAGCAAGUCUUGUUCUCCAUCUGGACGUUGUGCUACAUUCUUAGAAUUUGGCAAUCUGGAGUCUCCAAUGCAUGCAAGAUUUCACUAUUUUUUUACCACAAUAUUUAGCAGAAUGCAAGUGAAGACAUCAUCCCAACCAGUUGUUGUCUCCCUUCCUAUAUGCUAUGUUGAUGGUCAGCGCAUCUGCACGAAUACUGAAUCCGCUAGGGCAUCUAGAAAGCAAUUAAAAGAAGCAAUCUACUCGGUUCUUUUUGAGAUGAAUGUUCCUGCUGUUUGUGCAAUUGAUCAGGCAGUGUUGGCUUUAUUUGCUGCAAGACGAACUUCUGGAAUUGUUGUCAACAUUGGCUUCCAUGUUACUUCAGUAGUCCCAAUUUUCGAAGGUAUUGUUAGGCAUGAUAUCGGCAUUGAAAUAGUGGGACAAGGUGCUCUAAAGCUCACUGCAUUUCUCAGAGAAUUAAUGCAGCAAAGAAACAUAAAUUUUGAGUCUCUAUACACUGUUAGAACCAUCAAGGAGAAACUGUGCUACGUGGCUGCUGACUAUGAGGCAGAGCUACAAAAAGAUACUGAAGCUUCAUGUGAGGUUGUUGGUGAGGGUUGGUUCACUCUAUCAAAAGAGCGGUUUAAGACUGGGGAAAUCCUUUUCCAACCACUUAUUGGCGCACACUGGGUUUGCAUCGAGCUGUGGCUCUCUGCAUGGAUCAUUGCGUGGCUGCUGAAGCCACCCCUGAUAAUAGAUGGUUUAAAACUGUGGUUUUGGCGGGUGGAACUUCUUGUUUACCUGGACUGUCAGAGAGACUUGAGAAAGAACUGUGCAAGAUUCUCCCUGCCUCAAUGUCUAAUGGUAUAGAGGUUAUUCCUCCUCCAUGUGGUGCUGAUUCUGCCUGGCACGGUGCAAAGAUCGUCAGCAGUAUGAGCACCUUCAUGGAUUCAUGGUGUAUUACGAAGAAACAAUAUCGGCAGAUGAUGCGACGCAACAUGAUAUGGUGAUACUUUUAUUUUUGUUUUCACUUAUUAAAAUAUAGGUGUUUUUUUUAUAUAUUACCGGGGCAGUGCUUAGAUGCCCCUCGUUGAUGCAGCACGGUGGAGCAAAUGCCGCUCGACUUCUUCAUGAUGUUUUAAUAUCUGAUCCUUUGAAUAUUGUUAUCGCUCAAGGGAUGGCCAAGUAUAAAACGCCCUACCAAUCAGGAAAAUCUGUCAUUUUCUUGUAAAUAAAUAAAUCAACAAUGUAGCCAUGUAGGGUGGUUAUGAACUAUAAAUUUGCAUAGUCGCGAAAAAAAAAUGAUUAGCUUUUUUC